Molecule: non-coding RNA, 24 nt
Filed under: Arabidopsis thaliana (thale cress)
Lineage: Eukaryota; Viridiplantae; Streptophyta; Magnoliopsida; Brassicales; Brassicaceae
Source: RNAcentral
AAGGAAAUAAAUGAGGCGACGUGA